CAGCCAGACUCCUACGGGAGGCAGCAGUGGGGAAUAUUGCACAAUGGGCGCAAGCCUGAUGCAGCCAUGCCGCGUGUAUGAAGAAGGCCUUCGGGUUGUAAAGUACUUUCAGCGGGGAGGAAGGUGCUGAGGUUAAUAACCUCAGCAAUUGACGUUACCCGCAGAAGAAGCACCGGCUAACUCCGUGCCAGCAGCCGCGGUAAUACGGAGGGUGCAAGCGUUAAUCGGAAUUACUGGGCGUAAAGCGCACGCAGGCGGUCUGUCAAGUCGGAUGUGAAAUCCCUGGGCUCAACCUGGGAACUGCAUUCGAAACUGGCAGGCUGGAGUCUUGUAGAGGGGGGUAGAAUUCCAGGUGUAGCGGUGAAAUGCGUAGAGAUCUGGAGGAAUACCGGUGGCGAAGGUGGCCCCCUGGACAAAGACUGACGCUCAGGUGCGAAAGCGUGGGGAGCAAACAGGAUUAGAUACCCGAGUAC
This 473-nucleotide ribosomal RNA is filed under the name uncultured bacterium. RNAcentral's name for it is "bacterial SSU rRNA". It matches the Rfam family "Bacterial small subunit ribosomal RNA", at positions 328 to 793 of the family's 1533-position model. The record is from RNAcentral.